GAUGAACGCUGGCGGCGUGCCUAAUACAUGCAAGUCGAGCGAACAGACGAGGAGCUUGCUUCUCUGACGUUAGCGGCGGACGGGUGAGUAACACGUGGAUAACCUACCUAUAAGACUGGGAUAACUUCGGGAAACCGGAGCUAAUACCGGAUAAUAUAUUGAACCGCAUGGUUCAAUAGUGAAAGACGGUUUUGCUGUCACUUAUAGAUGGAUCCGCGCCGCAUUAGCUAGUUGGUAAGGUAACGGCUUACCAAGGCAACGAUGCGUAGCCGACCUGAGAGGGUGAUCGGCCACACUGGAACUGAGACACGGUCCAGACUCCUACGGGAGGCAGCAGUAGGGAAUCUUCCGCAAUGGGCGAAAGCCUGACGGAGCAACGCCGCGUGAGUGAUGAAGGUCUUCGGAUCGUAAAACUCUGUCAUUAGGGAAGAACAAAUGUGUAAGUAACUAUGCACGUCUUGACGGUACCUAAUCAGAAAGCCACGGCUAACUACGUG
RNAcentral lists this ribosomal RNA (497 nucleotides) under uncultured bacterium. RNAcentral describes it as "partial 16S ribosomal RNA". It matches the Rfam family "Bacterial small subunit ribosomal RNA", at positions 28 to 507 of the family's 1533-position model. The record is from RNAcentral.